CCUACGGGAGGCAGCAGUGAGGAAUAUUGGUCAAUGGGCGUAAGCCUGAACCAGCCAAGUCGCGUGAGGGAUGAAGGCCCUAUGGAUCGUAAACCUCUUUUAUAAGGGAAUAAAGUGUGGGACGUGUCCUGUUUUGUAUGUACCUUAUGAAUAAGGAUCGGCUAACUCCGUGCCAGCAGCCGCGGUAAUACGGAGGAUCCGAGCGUUAUCCGGAUUUAUUGGGUUUAAAGGGUGCGUAGGCGGCUUGUUAAGUCAGCUGUGAAAGUCUGCGGCUCAACCAUAAAAUUGCAGUUGAAACUGGUAGGCUGGAGUAGUGUUGAGGCAGGCGGAAUUCGUGGUGUAGCGGUGAAAUGCUUAGAUAUCACGAAGAACCCCGAUUGCGAAGGCAGCCUGCCAAACUACGACUGACGCUGAUGCACGAAAGCGUGGGGAUCAAACAGGAUUAGAUACCCUAGUAGUC
This 460-nucleotide ribosomal RNA is filed under the name uncultured bacterium. RNAcentral's name for it is "partial 16S ribosomal RNA". It matches the Rfam family "Bacterial small subunit ribosomal RNA", at positions 338 to 795 of the family's 1533-position model. The record is from RNAcentral.